GUUCCGAGGAGAGAAUUCAGCGGUGCAGCAUCCUCUCCGAGCUCUAUGAGUUAAUCGGCUGCCACUGCAAGUCCGCCUUCUUCAAGCGGGUGGCCCCCGUGCAGCGCUCGGCCCACCGGUAACUCGGAACCUGGCGGGAAGGCCUCCUCCCGACUCCUUCUGCAGACGCUUCCUGGCUACAGUCUGUCGCUGGAUCUGCAGGACUUCAGCAAUGUUUAUGAAGGUUUUCCAUGAGAUAUAUUGCUCAGCCUUUUCCUGAAUGAAGGAUUGAAUUUUCCACAGGAAAUCUUAUGAAAGAGUGACAAGGCACAUGGGUUUCCCAAAAAGCAAUAGUUGAUGUAAUAAACUCUCACAUUGGUGAACUUUUUUAA
Molecule: long non-coding RNA, 371 nt
Filed under: Camelus dromedarius (Arabian camel)
Lineage: Eukaryota; Metazoa; Chordata; Mammalia; Artiodactyla; Camelidae
Description: lncRNA (ENSCDRG00005006158.1)
Source: RNAcentral